This 253-nucleotide ribosomal RNA is filed under the name uncultured bacterium. Its description in RNAcentral is "partial 16S ribosomal RNA". It matches the Rfam family "Bacterial small subunit ribosomal RNA", at positions 524 to 776 of the family's 1533-position model. The record is from RNAcentral.
UACGUAGGGAGCAAGCGUUGUCCGGAAUCAUUGGGCGUAAAGCGCGCGUAGGUGGCCCUGUAAGUCCGCUGUGAAAGUCAAAGGCUCAACCUUUGAAAGCCGGUGGAUACUGCAGGGCUAGAGUACGGAAGAGGCGAGUGGAAUUCCUGGUGUAGCGGUGGAAUGCGCAGAUAUCAGGAGGAACACCAAUAGCGAAGGCAGCUCGCUGGGACGUUACUGACACUGAGGCGCGAAAGCUAGGGGAGCAAACGGG